AGUGAACGCUGGCGGCAGGCCUAACACAUGCAAGUCGAGCGGCAGCGCGGGGGCAACCCUGGCGGCGAGCGGCGGACGGGUGAGGAAUUCGUCGGAAUCUGCCUUUUUGUGGGGGAUAACGUAGGGAAACUUACGCUAAUACCGCAUCCGUCCUACGGGAGAAAGUGGGGGACCGCAAGCCCUCCCGCAGAAAGAUGAGCCGACGACCGAUUAGCUAGUUGGUGGGGUAAAGGCCCACCAAGGCGACGAUCGGUAGCUGGUCUGAGAGGAUGAUCAGCCACACUGGGACUGAGACACGGCCCAGACUCCUACGGGAGGCAGCAGUGGGGAAUAUUGGACAAUGGGCGCAAGCCUGAUCCAGCCAUGCCGCGUGUGAGAAGAAGGCCUUCGGGUUGUAAAGCACUUUUGUCCGGAAAGAAAUCCCUGGAGCUAAUACCUUCGGGGGAUGACGGUACCGGAAGAAUAAGCACCGACUAACUUCGUG
Molecule: ribosomal RNA, 484 nt
Filed under: uncultured bacterium
Lineage: Bacteria
Description: partial 16S ribosomal RNA
Rfam family: Bacterial small subunit ribosomal RNA
Source: RNAcentral